RNAcentral lists this ribosomal RNA (464 nucleotides) under uncultured bacterium. RNAcentral's name for it is "partial 16S ribosomal RNA". It matches the Rfam family "Bacterial small subunit ribosomal RNA", at positions 339 to 795 of the family's 1533-position model. The record is from RNAcentral.
CUACGGGCUGCUCCAGUAGGGAAUAUUGGACAAUGGGCGAAAGCCUGAUGCAGCCAUACCGCGUGUGUGAAGAAGGCCCGAGGGUUGUAAAGCACUUUCAAUUGUGAGGAAGGUUCAGUAGUUAAUACCUGCUGUUCUUGACGUUAACUUUAGAAGAAGCACCGGCUAACUCUGUGCCAGCAGCCGCGGUAAUACAGAGGGUGCAAGCGUUAUUCGGAAUGACUGGGCGUAAAGCGCGCGUAGGCGGAUUGUUAAGUCAGUUGUGAAAGCCCUGGGCUCAACCUGGGAACUGCAUCUGAUACUGGCAAGCUAGAGUUUAAGAGAGGGAAGUGGAAUUCCAGGUGUAGCAGUGAAAUGCGUAGAUAUCUGGAGGAACAUCAGUGGCGAAGGCGACUUCCUGGCUUAAAACUGACGCUGAGGUGCGAAAGCGUGGGUAGCGAACAGGAUUAGAUACCCUCGUAGUC